AGCAGGCUCUGUGGAUGCCCAGACAGGCAGUCCACCAUGGGGGCUGGUUCUUAGCAUAACCACCUGACCUGCCCCCAGGCCACCAGAGGGUGCCAUCCUCGAAACAAUCUUGGAAAACUCAGGUGACAGCAGAUGCUGGCGAGGAUGUGGAGAAACAGGAACACUCCUCCAUUGCUGGUGGGAAUGCAAACUGGUACAACCAUUCUGGAAAGCAGUCUGGCGGUUCCUCAGAAAUUUGGACAUAGUACUACUGGUGGAUCCAGCAAUUCCAUUUCUGGGCAUAUACCCAGAAGAUGUUCCAACUUGUAAUAAGGACACAUGCUCCACUAUGUUCAUAGCAGCCUUAUUUAUAAUAGCCAGAAGCUGGAAAGAACACAGAUGUCCAUCAACAGAGGAAUGGAUACAAAAAAUGUGGUACAUUUACACAAUAGAGUACUAUUCAGCUAUUAAAAACAAUGACUUCAUGAAAUUCCUAGGCAAAUGAGUGGAUCUGGAGGAUAUCAUCCUUAGUGAGGUAACCCAAUCACAAAAGAACACACAUGAUAUGCACUCACUGAUAAGUGGAUAUUAGCCCAGAAACUAGAAUACCCAAGAUACAAUUUUCAAAACACAUGAAACUCGAGAAGAAGGAAGACCAAAGUGUGAAUAUUUCAUUCCUUCUUAGAAUGGGGAACAAAAUACCCAUGGAAGGAGCUAUAGAGACAAAGUUUGGAGCUGAGAUGGAAGGAAGGACCAUCCAGAGACUGCCCCACCUGGGGAUCCAUCCCAUAAACAACCACCAAACCCAGACACUAUUACAUAUGCCAGCAAGAUUUUGCUGAUAGGACCCUGAUAUAGCUGUCUCCUGUGAGGUUAUGCCAGUGCCUGGCAAAUAUAGAAGUGGAUGCUCAUAGUCAUCUAUUAGAUGGAACACAGGGCCCCCAAUGAAGGAGCUAGAGAAAGUACCCAAGAAGCUAAAGGGGUCUGCAACCCUAUAGGAGGAACAACAAUAUGAACUAACCAGUACCCCCCCCCCCCCCCCCAGAGCUCGUGUCUCUAGCUGCAUAUGUAGCAGAGGAUGGCCUAGUCGGCCAUCAAUGGGAGGAGAGGCCCUUGGUCUUGCAAAGAUCAUAUGUCCCAGUACAGGGGAAUGCCAGGGCUAGGAAGUGGGAGUGGGUGGGUUGGGGAGCAGGGAGGGUAUAGGGGACUUUUGGGAUAACAUUUGAAAUGUAAAUGAAGAAAAUAUCUAAUAAAAAAAAGUUGUUUGAAAAGCAACCA
Molecule: long non-coding RNA, 1257 nt
Filed under: Mus musculus (house mouse)
Lineage: Eukaryota; Metazoa; Chordata; Mammalia; Rodentia; Muridae
Description: predicted gene, 30866
Source: RNAcentral